GACGAACGCUGGCGGCGUGCUUAACACAUGCAAGUCGAACGGAAAGGCCCUGCUUUUGUGGGGUGCUCGAGUGGCGAACGGGUGAGUAACACGUGAGUAACCUGCCCUUGACUUUGGGAUAACUUCAGGAAACUGGGGCUAAUACCGGAUAGGAGCUCCUGCUGCAUGGUGGGGGUUGGAAAGUUUCGGCGGUUGGGGCUGGACUCGCGGCUUAUCAGCUUGUUGGUGGGGUAGUGGCUUACCAAGGCUUUGACGGGUAGCCGGCCUGAGAGGGUGACCGGCAACAUUGGGACUGAGAUACGGCCCAGACUCCUACGGGAGGCAGCAGUGGGGAAUAUUGCACAAUGGGCGGAAGCCUGAUGCAGCAACGCCGCGUGCGGGAUGACGGCCUUCGGGUUGUAAACCGCUUUCGCCUGUGACGAAGCGUGAGUGACGGUAAUGGGUAAAGAAGCACCGGCUAACUACGUG
RNAcentral lists this ribosomal RNA (468 nucleotides) under uncultured bacterium. Its description in RNAcentral is "partial 16S ribosomal RNA". It matches the Rfam family "Bacterial small subunit ribosomal RNA", at positions 28 to 507 of the family's 1533-position model. The record is from RNAcentral.